Molecule: ribosomal RNA, 82 nt
Filed under: Clostridiales bacterium
Lineage: Bacteria; Bacillati; Bacillota; Clostridia; Eubacteriales
Source: RNAcentral
CAUCCCGAACACAGAAGUUAAGCCCUUCAGCGCUGAUGGUACUUGGCGGGUGACCGCCUGGGAGAGUAAGACGCUGCCGGAU